UUAGUGGCGGACGGGUGAGUAACGCGUGGGUAACCUGCCUUACACAGGGGGAUAACACUUAGAAAUAGGUGCUAAAACCGCAUAAGCGCACAGCUUCGCAUGAAGCGGUGUGAAAAACUCCGGUGGUGUAAGAUGGACCCGCGUCUGAUUAGCUUGUUGGCGGGGUAACGGCCCACCAAGGCGACGAUCAGUAGCCGGCCUGAGAGGGCGGGCGGCCACAUUGGGACUGAGACACGGCCCAGACUCCUACGGAAGGCAGCAG
This 262-nucleotide ribosomal RNA is filed under the name uncultured bacterium. RNAcentral's name for it is "partial 16S ribosomal RNA". It matches the Rfam family "Bacterial small subunit ribosomal RNA", at positions 92 to 354 of the family's 1533-position model. The record is from RNAcentral.